CCUACGGGUGGCAGCAGUGAGGAAUAUUGGUCAAUGGACGAGAGUCUGAACCAGCCAAGUAGCGUGAAGGAUGACUGCCCUCUGGGUUGUAAACUUCUUUUAUAUAGAAAUAAAACAGGGUAUGCAUACCCUCUUGUAUGUACCAUAUGAAUAAGGAUCGGCUAACUCCGUGCAAGCAGCCGCGGUAAUACGGAGGAUCCGAGUGUUAUCCUGAUUUAUUGGGUUUAACGGGUGCGUAGUUGGAUGUUUAAGUCAGUUGUGAAAGUUUGCGGCUCAACCGUAAAAUUGCAGUUGAUACUGGCAGUCUUGAGUACAGUAGAGGUGUGCGGAAUUCGUGGUGUAGCGGUGAAAUGCUGAGAUAUCACGAAGAACUCCGAGUGCGAAGGCAGCUCACUGGACUGCAACUGACACUGAUGCUCGAAAGUGUGGGUAUCAAACAGGAUUAGAUACCCGGGUAGUC
Molecule: ribosomal RNA, 460 nt
Filed under: uncultured bacterium
Lineage: Bacteria
Description: partial 16S ribosomal RNA
Rfam family: Bacterial small subunit ribosomal RNA
Source: RNAcentral